Homo sapiens (human) is the source of this 3279-nucleotide RNA transcript. It is a transcript of the gene named stress associated endoplasmic reticulum protein family member 2, with no coding region annotated. NCBI's taxonomy places the organism in Eukaryota, Metazoa, Chordata, Mammalia, Primates, Hominidae. The transcript has 5 exons. The record is from RefSeq and is marked validated.
AGCAUUCGGCUACAGGACCGCGACACUGCAGGGCCCCGGCUCUGCGCGCUGCGCUCCGGCCGCUCGGCGCGGGAGGACGUGCGGUCGCGCCUGCCUCGGUGGCCGCGCGGGGUGGGAGCAUUUCAGAGCGCACAAGCCAUGGUGGCCAAACAGCGGAUCCGGAUGGCUAACGAGAAGCACAGCAAAAACAUCACCCAGAGGGGGAACGUAGCCAAAACCCUGAGGCCGCAAGAGGAGAAAUAUCCUGUGGGACCAUGGCUGUUGGCACUGUUUGUUUUUGUUGUCUGUGGCUCAGGUCAACCACAUAAAUUGGCCUCUCCUGGAGACUGCCAGAACUUUCUCAAAGUUGUAACAUCCAGAGGGAGUCACCCCACCCCCAAGACCGGCAACUGAGAUGUUUAAAGGAACUGGCUGGCCCUGAAGGAAAGACUGAGGCCAUUCAUCUGCUCUGGAGUUCAUCCUCGGGAUCUGAGAUGCACAGCCUGAAGACAUCUCAUCAGCCAUCAGCUCCCUUAAGAGGACCUACUUUGUGCCAUACCUGGUCGCUGUUAUCCUGGAGCUUAUAGUCUAAUGGCAAAGAAAGAUGAGUUAAUCAAGUAAUCACACCAAAACACUUUCAAUUCAGCCAUGAAACUGUACAAUUUCAGCCAUGAAACAAUGUAAAGGAGAGGCACAUGGGGCUAUGAAAUCAUACAAUGCAAAGGACUGGUGUACUCUCAGGUAAGUGGUUCUCAAAGUGUGGUCCCUGGACCGGCAUCUCAACAUCUCCUGUGAACUUGUUAGAAACACAGAUUCUCCAUCCCUUAACUCCAGGGUUUGGGGGGAAGGUGUCCAGCAUUUGUGUUUUAACCUGUCCCCAAGAGACUGUGAUGCAUGCUCAAGUCUGAGAACCUCUGCUCCAGGUGAUCAAAGAAGGCUUCUCUGAAGACAUUAAAUUUUGGUUGAUGAAGGAAACUAGGGAAUAGGGUGGGGUAGAAGUAUUUCAGACAGAAAGAAUGGCAUGUGUAAAAGCCCUGUGGUCUCACUCCUGUAAAUCCCAGCACUUUGGGAGGCCGAGGCGGGUGGAUCGUGAGAUCAAGAGAUUGACACCAUCCUGGCCAACAUAGUGAAACCCCGUCUCUAUUAAAAAUACAAAAAAAAUUAGCUGGGCAUGGUGGUGCGCUCCUGUAGUCCCAGCUACUCAGGAGGCUAAGGCUGGAGAAUCGCUUGAACCCGGAAGACAGAGGUUGCAGUAAGCCGAGAUCGUGCCACUGCUCUCUAGGCUGGUGACAGAGUGAGACUCUGUCUCAAAAAAAAAAAAAAAAAGCCCUGUGGUGAGAGCAGGAGAGCAGGGAGCUUUUGAAAACAUGAGGGAGUACCCCAAGCAAGGAGAAGAGUGAUACAAGGUGAGUCUGACAGGUCUGGACAGGGACCAUGAUGUGCAGGUCAUGAAGGCCUCAUCAGGGAUUGGGCAACGGGAAGCUUUUGAUGUGCAGUAAACACGGGAGUGACAAUAUAUUAUUUGCUUUUAUUGAAAGGAUAAUUCUAGCUACAGUAUGGAGAAAGGAUGGAAGAAGAGCAAGAGUCGAGCACUGGGAGGGCCUCACUGGGGUCUUGGGGAGGAUGAUGGUAACUUGGACUAGGGUGGCUUCUGAGGAAUGGAAAGAAGGGUGCAUAAUCACAAGAUUCCCAGGUAAAAUCCACAGGUCUUGGUUAUCAAUUGGAGGUGUCAGGAAGGACUGUGGUGUUUUGAGUCUACAUCCAAGAUGGAAGAUAAUGAUGCCAGUUUUAGCAGUGGGACGAGAUCAUGAGAAGGUCCUGUUGAGUCCGAGGUACCUCUGAGCCACCCAGCUGUAGAUAUCAACUAGAUAGUGGAAGGUGUGCUGGAGCUCAGAGAAGUCAGGGCUGGAGAUACACAUUUGUGCAUCAUCAACAGCUAGGUGGCAAUUCAAACUGUGGGCUGGGAGGCAUUGCCUAAGAAGAAAGAACGUAAGGAGAAGAAAGCCAGUGACGUUCAUUGCAGAAUGUCAGCGCUUAUGUUUAAUGGUCAAGUGGAUUGUUUCCUCUAAAACAAGUUUAGAGGAAAGAUCCAAGAGAAGGAGGAAAAUUAGAACCUAGAAGACCAUGGUUUCACAGAGGCCAAGGGAAGAGAGUUUCAAGCAGGAAGUGCCCAGCGGGGGUGAGCAGGGGGUAAGGCAAAAGAAGGUGGAAGAAUGCCUGUUACACUAAGCGACUCAAAAGUCAUUUGUGACUUUAGCAAAAGAUAUUCAAUGGAGGGAAGAGAGCAGAAGAUAAAAUGAGGUGGACUGACAUGAGAAUAGCAGGUAAGAGAGUGCAGAAAGUGAGCAUAGACAGCUCUUUAGAAAUGGUUGUGAAGAGGAAGAGAGGGCCCUGUGGAUGGAGAUGUGGAGUCAGGCAGAUAGCUCUGGUGUAUUUGAUUUUUCAGUGGGAGUGCUCCUAGCAUGUUAAAGCCUAAAGACUUUGUUGAAAGGGGUGCUGAAAAAAGAGAAAUGGUAUCAUCUAAGGUUACCAAGGGCCAGGAUCCUUGACACAGGUAGGAGGAUGCAGAGGCUUCGUGGGUCUGGUAGCUCCUGCUCUCCCCUGGACUUUUCUGAACCUCUGGGACCUGCCCACGCCCUGAUCGCCUGCCCUGGAACGCCUGCUGUCCCUCCCUUUCUUGGCAUCUCUCCUCCCCGCUGUCUCGCCUGCCCACAGUUCCUCUCCUGCAGCCUGUUCUGCUGUUUUCUCAGCUUUGUUCACCCACUGUUAAGUUAUUAACUUGUCAGGGUCUAGACUCCCCGCUUCCUUUCCCUCUUUUGAACUCACUGCUGGCUCCCUUCCCAUUUGCCGCCUCAGAAAGUCAGCAUUUGGAAGGCUGAGGUUACUCUGCAGGUCAGUAUUGGCAGGUACACAGAAUUACAGUUAAUAUAAUUAGAAUGUGUAAGUUUUCUUAAAGACAAUGAUACAACUGAAAAAGAAAUAAUAAACACAGUCAUCUCUCUGUUAUCUUGUGGAGGUAAAUGGUGAACUUAAAAAAAUAGACUUUAUUCAAAGUAGUGUCUCCAAGAAGGUUCAUCUGUGAACAUGUUAAGGAUCGCUGGACUCUUAUAUGUUAAUUCAUGGAUUCAAUUAUGAUCAGGAAUGAUCCUCAGUUUUUAAAGCAAACUCAAAGAACUAGGUAAGUUGUUUUAAUAUCAGUGUCGCUGUUCUGAGACGUGCAAACUUUAUCUUAGAUUCUUUCUAUUAUUUUUAUUUAUUUAUUUUUUUUGAGACGGAGUCUUGCUCUGUCACCCAGGCUGG